UAUGACGGUACCCUUUCGAAUAAGAGGUUGCUAACUCUGUGCCAGCAGCAGCGGUAAUACAGAGACCUCGAGCGUUAUCCGGAUUUACUGGGCGUAAAGCGUCUGUAGGGGUUUUGUUAAGUUCCAAGUAAAAUCUUAAGGCUCAACUUUAAGUUCGCUUGGAAAACUAAUAAACUGGAGUCCAGCAGAGGUGCAUGGAACUUGCGGUGUAGGAGUGAAAUCCGUUGAUAUCGCAAGGAACACCAAAGGCGAAGGCAUUGCACUGGGCUGGUACUGACCCUGAGAGACGAAAGCGUGGGGAGCAAAACGGAUUAGAUACCCGUGUAGUCCACGCCGUAAACGAUGGAUACUAGAUGUUCGGGGAUUCGACCCCCUGGGUGUCACAGCUAACGCGUUAAGUAUCCCGCCUGGGAAGUACGGCCGCAAGGCUAAAACUCAAAGGAAUAGACGGGGAUCCGCACAAGCGGUGGAGCGUCUGGUUUAAUUUGAUAGUAAGCAAUGGACCUCACCAAGGUUUGACAUCCUAUGACAACCCUGGAAACAGGGCUUCCUUCGGGCAUAGUGACAGGUGCUGCAUGGUCGUCGUCAGUUCGUGCCGUGAGGUGUUCCGUUAAGUCGGGAAACGAACGAAACCCUCGUCGCAUGUUACAAAUUUCAUGCGAGACUGCCCGGGUCAACCGGGAGGAAGGCGGGGAUGACGUCAGAUCAGCAUGGCCCUUAUACCUUGGGCUACACAGGCGCUACAAUGGCCGGUACAAAGGGUUGCAAAACCGCGAGGUGAAGCUAAUCCCAUAAAGCCGGUCCAAGUUCGGAUUGGAGGCUGCAACUCGCCUCCAUGAAGUUGGAAUCGCUACUACUCCCGGAUCAGCCAUACCACGGUGAAUACGUUCCCGGAUCUUGUACUCACCGCCCGUCACACCAAGAGAGUUGGUAGCUCAUGAAG
RNAcentral lists this ribosomal RNA (943 nucleotides) under uncultured organism. RNAcentral's name for it is "bacterial SSU rRNA". It matches the Rfam family "Bacterial small subunit ribosomal RNA", at positions 468 to 1426 of the family's 1533-position model. The record is from RNAcentral.